ACCGGAGGGGACGACCCGCUGGUGUUCGGGUUGUUAUGCCAAUAGCAUUGCCCGGUAGCUACGUUCGGAAUCGAUAACCGCUGAAAGCAUCUAAGCGGGAAGCGAGCCUCAAGAUGAGUUCUCACUGGAGAUUUAAUCUCCCUAAAGGGCCGUAGGAGACUACUACGUUGAUAGGCAAGGUGUGUAAGCGUUGUGAGGCGUUGAGCUAACUUGUACUAAUGACCCGUGAGGCUUAACCAUACAACACCUAAUGUGUUU
Molecule: ribosomal RNA, 258 nt
Filed under: Alteromonadales bacterium alter-6D02
Lineage: Bacteria; Pseudomonadati; Pseudomonadota; Gammaproteobacteria; Alteromonadales
Description: partial 23S ribosomal RNA
Rfam family: Bacterial large subunit ribosomal RNA
Source: RNAcentral